ACAUGAUUGUCUUGUUCCCGAUCUCAGUGUAAAAGCUUUCAUCCUUUGUCUUUGAAUAUAAUGUGGGUUUUUCCUAAAUGCCUUUUGUCAUUUUGAGGAACGUUUUUUUCUAUUCCCAGCUUGUUGAAUGUUUUUAUAUGAGCAGAUGUCGUAUUGUGUAAAAUCCCUUUUCUGCAUCAAUGGAGAUGACCAUGUGUUUGCCUGCUUCAUUUUAUUAAUGUGGUAUAUUACAUUGAUUGAUUUUUGUAUGUUCAAUUCAUUUGCAUCAUUUUAAAUCCUCAAUGUUUAUUUUAACUAUGGCUGUUUUUAUCAGUUGUAUGUAUUCUUUGAUUUAUUCCAUGCAGAUUCAAACUAAUGGUGUCUCACCAACACAUGGCAUGAGAACACCUGUAGCAAUCUGUUUGACAGUCAUUCACGAGCAACUUAGAAUUGCAAGAAAGAUGUCCUUGGCGUGUACACCCUGUGGAAUCUGGUUCAUCUUCAAUCUGUCAGAAGGCAUCAGAGGUGGUUUUGACUCCUUAUGUCUUGGACCUGUGCACAAAAAGUGUAAAAUGGAUGGAACAUCAGACAGCUCAUUAUAGAGACAAGUAAGCUCCAGUUCCAAAGUUGGUUGACAGAACAAGUCAUGACCUUGUGUGGAGGAAAAUGAGAUCCCGAGUGAAGUCUACAGUGUCAUUGACUCUGAAGAAGGACUCAGAGACCCAUUGGUGUUUAAUGACCCUUACUGGCCUAUGCAGUGGAAACUG
Molecule: long non-coding RNA, 746 nt
Organism: Pan paniscus (pygmy chimpanzee)
Lineage: Eukaryota; Metazoa; Chordata; Mammalia; Primates; Hominidae
Source: Ensembl